Molecule: ribosomal RNA, 470 nt
Filed under: uncultured Desulfobulbus sp.
Lineage: Bacteria; Pseudomonadati; Thermodesulfobacteriota; Desulfobulbia; Desulfobulbales; Desulfobulbaceae
Description: bacterial SSU rRNA
Rfam family: Bacterial small subunit ribosomal RNA
Source: RNAcentral
GGCACGAAGCGGUGGAGUUAGUGUGGUUUAAUUCGAUGCAACGCGAAGAACCUUACCUGGUCUUGACAUCCCGGAGACCCUUAGGAAACUAGGGGGUGGCUUCCAUCUGGAAGAAUCUGGAGACAGGUGCUGCAUGGCUGUCGUCAGCUCGUGUCGUGAGAUGUUGGGUUAAGUCCCGCAACGAGCGCAACCCUUGCCUUUAGUUGCCAGCAGUUCGGCUGGGCACUCUAAAGGGACUGCCGGUGUUAAACCGGAGGAAGGUGGGGAUGACGUCAAGUCCUCAUGGCCUUUAUGACCAGGGCUACACACGUACUACAAUGGCCGAUACAAAGGGCAGCGACACUGCGAGGUGAAGCCAAUCCCGUAAAAUCGGUCUCAGUCCGGAUUGGAGUCUGCAACUCGACUCCAUGAAGUUGGAAUCGCUAGUAAUCGUGGAUCAGCAUGCCACGGUGAAUACGUUCCCGGGCCUU